This 586-nucleotide ribosomal RNA is filed under the name uncultured bacterium. RNAcentral's name for it is "partial 16S ribosomal RNA". It matches the Rfam family "Bacterial small subunit ribosomal RNA", at positions 355 to 1375 of the family's 1533-position model. The record is from RNAcentral.
UGGGGAAUUUUGGACAAUGGGCGAAAGCCUGAUCCAACAAUGCCGCGUGUGUGAAGAAGGCCUUCGGGUUGUAAAGCACUUUUGUCCGGAAAGAAAUCCUUGGCUCUAAUACAGUCGGGGGAUGACGGUACCGGAAGAAUAAGCACCGGCUAACUACGUGCCAGCAGCCGCGGUAAUACGUAGGGUGCAAGCGUUAAUCGGAAUUACUGGGCGUAAAGCGUGCGCAGGCGGUUUGCUAAGACCGAUGUGAAAUCCCCGGGCUCAACCUGGGAACUGCAUUGGUGACUGGCAGGCUAGAGUAUGGCAGAGGGGGGUAGAAUUCCGCGUGUAGCAGUGAAAUGCGUAGAGAUGUGGAGGAAUACCGAUGGCGAAGGCAGCCCCCUGGGCCAAUACUGACGCUCAUGCACGAAAGCGUGGGGAGCAAAACAGGAUUAGAUACCCUGGUAGUCCACGCCCUAAACGAUGUCAACUAGUUGUUGGGGAUUCAUUUCCUUAGUAACGUAGCUAACGCGUGAAGUUGACCGCCUGGGGAGUACGGUCGCAAGAUUAAAACUCAAAGGAAUUGACGGGGUCAUAGCUGUUUCCU